UUCAGUCUGAGAGGGAAAGGACACUUCACUCCGAUGUAAUACCCUAGGGAGUGACAUUUGCGUGGAAUGUCAAGUUCUGGGAACUUGCUGUUAAUUACUGUGCUUUCCAAGUAUCUCACCAAGAAGGAAGAUGGUUUUGCAUAUUGAAUUCUUUAGAGAAUGAUCCCUUAUGACUUUCAUGAGUGUUAAAGUUUGAGUAUUAAGAGCAAAGAGAACAUGGACCCCGCUGGAAUGUAAACACCAUG
Molossus molossus (Pallas's mastiff bat) is the source of this 245-nucleotide long non-coding RNA. RefSeq lists it as uncharacterized. Lineage: Eukaryota; Metazoa; Chordata; Mammalia; Chiroptera; Molossidae. The transcript is spliced from 3 exons. The record is from RefSeq and is a predicted model, not a curated record.